GAACGCUGGCGGCGUGCCUAAUACAUGCAAGUCGAGCGAACAGACGAGGAGCUUGCUCCUCUGACGUUAGCGGCGGACGGGUGAGUAACACGUGGAUAACCUACCUAUAAGACUGGGAUAACUUCGUGAAACCGGAGCUAAUACCGGAUAAUAUAUUGAACCGCAUGGUUCAAUAGUGAAAGACGGUUUUGCUGUCACUUAUAGAUGGAUCCGCGCCGCAUUAGCUAGUUGGUAAGGUAACGGCUUACCAAGGCGACGAUGCGUAGCCGACCUGAGAGGGUGAUCGGCCACACUGGAACUGAGACACGGUCCAGACUCCUACGGGAGGCAGCAGUAGGGAAUCUUCCGCAAUGGGCGAAAGCCUGACGGAGCAACGCCGCGUGAGUGAUGAAGGUCUUCGGAUCGUAAAACUCUGUUAUUAGGGAAGAACAAAUGUGUAAGUAACUAUGCACGUCUUGACGGUACCUAAUCAGAAAGCCACGGCUAACUACGUG
Molecule: ribosomal RNA, 494 nt
Filed under: uncultured bacterium
Lineage: Bacteria
Description: partial 16S ribosomal RNA
Rfam family: Bacterial small subunit ribosomal RNA
Source: RNAcentral